This 253-nucleotide ribosomal RNA is filed under the name uncultured bacterium. Its description in RNAcentral is "partial 16S ribosomal RNA". It matches the Rfam family "Bacterial small subunit ribosomal RNA", at positions 524 to 776 of the family's 1533-position model. The record is from RNAcentral.
UACGAAGGGUGCAAGCGUUACUCGGAAUUACUGGGCGUAAAGGGUGCGUAGGUGGUUUGUUAAGUCUGCUGUGAAAUCCCCGGGCUCAACCUGGGAAUGGCAGUGGAUACUGGCAAGCUAGAGUGCGGUAGAGGGUAGUGGAAUUCCCGGUGUAGCAGUGAAAUACGUAGAGAUCGGGAGGAACACCAGUGGCGAAGGCGGCUACCUGGACCAGCACUGACACUGAAGCACGAAAGCGUGGGGAGCAAACAGG